CCUAUAUGCCACUCUGCCCCAUAAUAUGCCCUUUAACCCCCUAAAUGCCAGAGUGGCAUAUAGGGGUAUAAGGCAUUUCUGGAGGCAGAGUGGCACAUAGGGGGUCAAAAGGCAUAUCAUGGGGCAUAUUUAUAAUGUUGCAUAAAGGCCACUAAAAAUAAUUUUAAAAAAUACAGGUAUAUUUUUGAGGAUUUAAUGUAGAAUAAAAUAUUAAAAAGUAGCACGGGGCAAGAUUGGAGAAAUUGAUUAUUUUAUAAUACAAGUAGUAGAUCUUAAUAUGUAUUAGCCAUACAAUAGUUUCACCCUUGUACACUCUGGGAUAUCCAAAGACAUUUAAUAAUAAUAAUCCUAAUACUUUAUGUAUUAUUCCAUUUUUGUAGUGCAAUUAUAUUUGAAAGUGUCCCACAAACUACCUCCAAAAAAGAUUUCAGUUUCACCAAAGUAUGGUAUAAAAAAAAUCGAAUAGAGCAAAGAA
Long non-coding RNA from Spea bombifrons (plains spadefoot toad), 475 nucleotides. RefSeq lists it as uncharacterized. The record is from RefSeq and is a predicted model, not a curated record. The transcript is spliced from 2 exons. Lineage: Eukaryota; Metazoa; Chordata; Amphibia; Anura; Pelobatidae.